AAUCUGAGAUGUGUCAUCUCGGUGCUGAGGAAUGUGCAUUGGAGGCAGUGCUGGAGGUGACACUGUUGCUCAAGUAUGGCUGGUUAUGGUUAUGAAGCAGGCUGCGCCUGCUUCAUCCGUGGACAGAUGCUCACUCUGCCUGCCCCAACUCUUCUUGCUGCCACAGUUCUCCCUUUGGCUCUGCCAGCAGAAGAUGUCACUGUUCUCAAACCUGCACCCUUCCGAAAACAAGAGGGACACAGACUCACUCACACGUAAAUAAAAAACAGAGGGAAGCUUUUAAAAGACUCAGAUGCUUGGUAUUCCGAGCAACAGCUAAUGCAAUGCCUUGUUAAGACAUCUCGUUGA
This 348-nucleotide long non-coding RNA is filed under the name Anser cygnoides (Swan goose). Its description in RNAcentral is "lncRNA (ENSACDG00005004041.1)". The record is from RNAcentral. Lineage: Eukaryota; Metazoa; Chordata; Aves; Anseriformes; Anatidae.